Molecule: long non-coding RNA, 1031 nt
Organism: Ailuropoda melanoleuca (giant panda)
Lineage: Eukaryota; Metazoa; Chordata; Mammalia; Carnivora; Ursidae
Exons: 4
Source: RefSeq, a predicted model, not a curated record
UGGCGCGAGACCGUGCGCGCGAGUUUGAGAAGGUCCACGGGCACCACAGCCCCGGGACAGCGCUUCUCCAGGAACUCUUGGAAGCCCUGGACGCCCAUGCUUCGUCGGUGGGCAGACGAGACGGCGGCUGCGCGAGCAGCACCCCUUUUCUACCACGUUCUCUACCUUAUCCUCAUGGUUGCAGCAAGAGCCAUCCUUUAUGUACCUUCACAGAGAAUUUGGGAUUGAGCUGGAGAGGAGAUGAAAAAUCCUGGCUGCAUUCAAGCACCUGAUUUAUUUAUUCCUAAGGCUCCAUGCCCAACAUGGGGCUUGAACUCAUGACCCCAAGAUCAAGACCUGAGCUGAGAUCAAGAGUCGGAUGUUUACCCAACUGAGCCACCCAGAUAAAGAUUCAACCAAAGACACAAACCUGGAACCGGCCCCGCUGAAAUGAUCCACUCAUCACUUUACAUCUACUCAAAGCCCUAGUAUCAGCCGUGGACUCUCCUGUCAGAGGAAUGGGGUCAGGAGCAACUGCUGAUCUCAUAUCUUCUGUUUCCACUGCAAGUUUUACGUGAUUGUAAGCAGAAAAGAGAAAAUUGUUUGUUAAGACUAAAUUUGUUUACAUUACCAAAAAAUGAAGAAAAGUAGAAAAAGCUUAACCCCUGCUAGAUAAUUAAAAAGUGUUAAUGUAAUAAGCAACACUGUAGAAGCCCCUAACUCAAAAUCAGACAUUGUAGGAUUUAUCCCGAAACUUAGUAUCUACAUGAAAUGAAUAACUGUAAAACCAAAUUAGUUACAAAAGGAAAAAUAAAAUGGCAAUGACAUUUAUGGGACAUGUCACAUACAUGGGCUAUGUGGAAAAAGUGAUAAGGUUUGUAUAUGAACAAACAAACAAACAAAAAAAAAGAAGUAAAUGAAAAGUGAUGUUACCUAGUCUAUGUCCCUGACUGUAAGCACACUACCUUGACGGACUUUUGAUCUCUUGAAAAAGCUGGUUGACUGCCGUAGCCUGUAUGCCCAGCUUUUUAAUUUGCGAGUCCAGGAUUUCU